AUUGAACGCUGGCGGCAGGCCUAACACAUGCAAGUCGCACGCGAAAGUUCCUUCGGGGAUGAGUAGAGUGGCGGACGGGUGAGUAACGCGUAGGAAUCUGCCCUGUAGUGGGGGAUAACCCGGGGAAACUCGGGCUAAUACCGCAUACGCCCCACGGGGGAAAGCGGGGGAUCUUCGGACCUCGUGCUAUGGGAGGAGCCUGCGUCGGAUUAGCUAGUUGGUAGGGUAAAGGCCUACCAAGGCGACGAUCCGAGCUGGUCUGAGAGGAUGAUCAGCCACACCGGAACUGAGACACGGUCCGGACUCCUACGGGAGGCAGCAGUGGGGAAUAUUGCGCAAUGGGCGAAAGCCUGACGCAGCCAUGCCGCGUGUGUGAAGAAGGCCUU
This 386-nucleotide ribosomal RNA is filed under the name uncultured bacterium. RNAcentral describes it as "bacterial SSU rRNA". It matches the Rfam family "Bacterial small subunit ribosomal RNA", at positions 29 to 418 of the family's 1533-position model. The record is from RNAcentral.